RNAcentral lists this transfer RNA (72 nucleotides) under Penicillium digitatum PHI26. RNAcentral describes it as "tRNA-Pro (TGG) (tRNA-Pro-TGG-1-1, tRNA-Pro-TGG-1-2)". It matches the Rfam family "tRNA". From Rfam's summary of the family: Transfer RNA (tRNA) molecules are approximately 80 nucleotides in length. Their secondary structure includes four short double-helical elements and three loops (D, anti-codon, and T loops). The record is from RNAcentral. RNAcentral also lists the same sequence under 3 other names. Lineage: Eukaryota; Fungi; Ascomycota; Eurotiomycetes; Eurotiales; Aspergillaceae.
GCCCGGAUGGUCUAGUGGUAUGAUUCUCCGUUUGGGUCGGAGAGGCCGCGUGUUCGAAUCGCGCUUCGGGCC